AUUGAACGCUGGCGGCAGGCCUAACACAUGCAAGUCGAGCGGAUGAAGGGAGCUUGCUCCUGGAUUCAGCGGCGGACGGGUGAGUAAUGCCUAGGAAUCUGCCUGGUAGUGGGGGAUAACGUCCGGAAACGGGCGCUAAUACCGCAUACGUCCUGAGGGAGAAAGUGGGGGAUCUUCGGACCUCACGCUAUCAGAUGAGCCUAGGUCGGAUUAGCUAGUUGGUGGGGUAAAGGCCUACCAAGGCGACGAUCCGUAACUGGUCUGAGAGGAUGAUCAGUCACACUGGAACUGAGACACGGUCCAGACUCCUACGGGAGGCAGCAGUGGGGAAUAUUGGACAAUGGGCGGAAGCCUGAUCCAGCCAUGUCGCGUGUGUGAAGAAGGUCUUCGGAUUGUAAAGCACUUUAAGUUGGGAGGAAGGGCAGUAAGUUAAUACCUUGCUGUUUUGACGUUACCAACAGAAUAAGCACCGGCUAACUUCGUG
This 484-nucleotide ribosomal RNA is filed under the name uncultured bacterium. RNAcentral's name for it is "partial 16S ribosomal RNA". It matches the Rfam family "Bacterial small subunit ribosomal RNA", at positions 30 to 507 of the family's 1533-position model. The record is from RNAcentral.